Molecule: ribosomal RNA, 549 nt
Filed under: uncultured bacterium
Lineage: Bacteria
Description: bacterial SSU rRNA
Rfam family: Bacterial small subunit ribosomal RNA
Source: RNAcentral
AGAGUUUGAUCAUGGCUCAGGACGAACGCUGGCGGCGUGCCUAACACAUGCAAGUCGAACGGUUGAGAGGUGAGAGUUGGGAGGUUAGAAGUGAGAGCUUGAAGGUAUUGGCCAACAUGCCAAUACCAGCAAUGAAGUCUCACAUCCCGCUUCCCACAUCUCACUUCUCAAUAGUGGCGGACGGGUGAGUAACGCGUGGGCAACCUACCCAUCAGACUGGGAUAACACCGGGAAACUGGUGCUAAUACCGGAUACGCUUAUGGAGGGGCAUCCCUUUGUAAGGAAAGAAAAUCGCUGAUGGAUGGGCCCGCGUCUGAUUAGCUAGUUGGUGGGGUAGUGGCCUACCAAGGCGACGAUCAGUAGCCGGCCUGAGAGGGUGACCGGCCACACUGGGACUGAGACACGGCCCAGACUCCUACGGGAGGCAGCAGUGGGGAAUAUUGCGCAAUGGGGGAAACCCUGACGCAGCAACGCCGCGUGAGUGACGAAGGCCUUCGGGUCGUAAAGCUCUGUCGACAGGGACGAAUAGAUGACGGUACCUGAGGAGGA